Molecule: unclassified non-coding RNA, 322 nt
Filed under: uncultured fungus
Lineage: Eukaryota; Fungi
Description: partial contains 5.8S ribosomal RNA and internal transcribed spacer 2
Rfam family: 5.8S ribosomal RNA (bases 1-133)
Source: RNAcentral
UGGUUCUGGCAUCGAUGAAGAACGCAGCGAAAUGCGAUAAGUAAUGCGAAUUGCAGAAUUCCGUGAGUCAUCGAAUCUUUGAACGCACAUUGCGCCCUUUGGUAUUCCGAAGGGCAUGCCUGUUCGAGCGUCAUUAUCAACCCUCAAGUUUAACUUGAUGUUGAAGAUGGUAAUAUAUCACCUCUUCGAAAGACAAUGACGGUGUUUUUAAGACUCUCGAUACAACGAGCUUUAACCAGCACGUAUCGAAGUAGGACUUUGAAACCCGGUCGACUUUUUUACUUCUAAGGUUGACCUCGGAUCAGGUAGGGAUACCCGCUGA